This 381-nucleotide ribosomal RNA is filed under the name Melinnopsis chadwicki. RNAcentral describes it as "partial large subunit ribosomal RNA". It matches the Rfam family "Bacterial large subunit ribosomal RNA", at positions 1982 to 2566 of the family's 2925-position model. Lineage: Eukaryota; Metazoa; Annelida; Polychaeta; Terebellida; Melinnidae. The record is from RNAcentral.
GGGGGCUUGUAUGAAAGGAUAAACGAAAGCUUUCCUGUCUCCUAGUAAAAAAUUAAAAUUGUCCUUUAGGUGAAGAGACCUAAAUUCAAUCAAAGGACAAGAAGACCCCGUAGAGCUUCAUAUUAAUAACAUUAUCAAAAAUUAAUACUCUCUAUAAUAUAUUUGAUCAUUCUAUAAUAUUUAGCUGGGGCGGCUAAGGAAAAAAAAUCUUCCAUUUCUACAAUAAUGGUCUAUACCUAUAAUCCAACUGAUCCUUAUAAGAACAGAAAAUAUAGCUACCUCGGGGAUAACAGAUUAAUUCUUCUUGAGAGUCCACAUUGACAGAAGAGUUUGACACCUCGAUGUUGGCUUAGGGUACCCAGUAGAUCAGCAACAGUCUAC